GAAAUUUUAGUUAAAAAUUUAUAACAUAUAAUUGUCAUUUAUAUUUUACUUAAAUAAGUAAAUUUCU
Molecule: transfer RNA, 67 nt
Filed under: Gesiella jameensis
Lineage: Eukaryota; Metazoa; Annelida; Polychaeta; Phyllodocida; Polynoidae
Description: tRNA-Asp
Source: RNAcentral